UAACUGAACAACUGGUUGGAGGGCAUGAG
Molecule: non-coding RNA, 29 nt
Filed under: Macaca fascicularis (crab-eating macaque)
Lineage: Eukaryota; Metazoa; Chordata; Mammalia; Primates; Cercopithecidae
Also listed under: 1 other name
Source: RNAcentral